This 582-nucleotide ribosomal RNA is filed under the name uncultured bacterium. RNAcentral's name for it is "partial 16S ribosomal RNA". It matches the Rfam family "Bacterial small subunit ribosomal RNA", at positions 355 to 926 of the family's 1533-position model. The record is from RNAcentral.
UGGGGAAUUUUGGACAAUGGGCGAAAGCCUGAUCCAGCAAUGCCGCGUGUGUGAAGAAGGCCUUCGGGUUGUAAAGCACUUUUGUCCGGAAAGAAAUCCUUGGCUCUAAUACAGUCGGGGGAUGACGGUACCGGAAGAAUAAGCACCGGCUAACUACGUGCCAGCAGCCGCGGUAAUACGUAGGGUGCAAGCGUUAAUCGGAAUUACUGGGCGUAAAGCGUGCGCAGGCGGUUUGCUAAGACCGAUGUGAAAUCCCCGGGCUCAACCUGGGAACUGCAUUGGUGACUGGCAGGCUAGAGUAUGGCAGAGGGGGGUAGAAUUCCACGUGUAGCAGUGAAAUGCGUAGAGAUGUGGAGGAAUACCGAUGGCGAAGGCAGCCCCCUGGGCCAAUACUGACGCUCAUGCACGAAAGCGUGGGGAGCAAAACAGGAUUAGAUACCCUGGUAGUCCACGCCCCUAAAACGAUGUCAACUAGUUGUUGGGGGAUUCAUUUCCUUAGUAACGUAGCUAACGCGUGAAGUUGACCGCCUGGGGAGUACGGUCGCAAGAUUAAAACUCAAAUGAAUUGACGGGGUCAUAGCU